RNAcentral lists this ribosomal RNA (492 nucleotides) under uncultured bacterium. Its description in RNAcentral is "partial 16S ribosomal RNA". It matches the Rfam family "Bacterial small subunit ribosomal RNA", at positions 30 to 507 of the family's 1533-position model. The record is from RNAcentral.
CGAACGCUGGCGGCGUGCUUAACACAUGCAAGUCGAACGGUGAAGCGCCUUCCUUUUUGGUGGGUGUGGAUGAGUGGCGAACGGGUGAGUAACACGUGAGUAACCUGCCCCCUUCUUCUGGAUAACCGCAUGAAAGUGUGGCUAAUACGGGAUAUUCUGGGUCUGUCGCAUGAUGGGUCUGGGAAAGAUAUUGUUUCGGUGGGGGAUGGGCUCGCGGCCUAUCAGCUUGUUGGCGGGGUGAUGGCCUACCAAGGCGGUGACGGGUAGCCGGCCUGAGAGGGUGGACGGUCACACUGGGACUGAGACACGGCCCAGACUCCUACGGGAGGCAGCAGUGGGGAAUAUUGCACAAUGGGCGCAAGCCUGAUGCAGCGACGCCGCGUGAGGGAUGGAGGCCUUCGGGUUGUGAACCUCUUUCGCCAGUGAAGCAGGCCUGCCUCGUUUGUGGGUGGGUUGACGGUAGCUGGAUAAGAAGCGCCGGCUAACUACGUG